AACGAACGCUGGCGGCAUGCCUAACACAUGCAAGUCGAACGAGACCUUCGGGUCUAGUGGCGCACGGGUGCGUAACGCGUGGGAACCUGCCCUUAGGUUCGGAAUAACUCCCCGAAAGGUGUGCUAAUACCGGAUAAUGUCUUCGGACCAAAGAUUUAUCGCCUUUGGAUGGGCCCGCGUUGGAUUAGCUAGUUGGUAGGGUAAAAGCCUACCAAGGCGAGGAUCCAUAGCUGGUCUGAGAGGAUGAUCAGCCACACUGGGACUGAGACACGGCCCAGACUCCUACGGGAGGCAGCAGUGGGGAAUAUUGGACAAUGGGCGAAAGCCUGAUCCAGCAAUGCCGGGUGAGUGAUGAAGGCCUUAGGGUUGUAAAGCUCUUUUACACGGGAUGAUAAUGACAGUAACGGGAGAAUAAGCUCCGGCUAACUACGUG
RNAcentral lists this ribosomal RNA (433 nucleotides) under uncultured bacterium. RNAcentral's name for it is "partial 16S ribosomal RNA". It matches the Rfam family "Bacterial small subunit ribosomal RNA", at positions 29 to 507 of the family's 1533-position model. The record is from RNAcentral.